Molecule: long non-coding RNA, 300 nt
Organism: Homo sapiens (human)
Lineage: Eukaryota; Metazoa; Chordata; Mammalia; Primates; Hominidae
Source: Ensembl
UGAGGCCGAUCAAAAUUGAACCAGAGGUUCUGGACAUCAUUCAGGUCACUGUCCCAGAUGCCUUGCCAACCUCUGAGGAAAUGACAGACUCAAUGCCUGGGCACCUGCCAUCGGAGGAUUCUGGUUAUGGGAUGGAGACGCUGACAGGCCCAACUGCUUCGGGAUCGCCAAGCUCUGGAAGAUUCUGGAGGCCAGCAACAGCAUCCAGUUUGUCAUCAAGAGGUAAGGCCCGACCAGGUCCACGGGAGACAGCACCGGGCCUGCUCAGCACCCAGGGUCAGGAGCAGCACCAAAUUGCCA